Trichoderma virens Gv29-8 is the source of this 95-nucleotide transfer RNA. It matches the Rfam family "tRNA". Rfam says of the family: Transfer RNA (tRNA) molecules are approximately 80 nucleotides in length. Their secondary structure includes four short double-helical elements and three loops (D, anti-codon, and T loops). Lineage: Eukaryota; Fungi; Ascomycota; Sordariomycetes; Hypocreales; Hypocreaceae. The record is from Rfam.
GACACUUUGGCCGAGUGGUUAAGGCGAUGCCCUGCUAUCAAUUGGUAUCAUAGGCAUUGUGUUCGCACGCGCAGGUUCGAAUCCUGCAGGUGUCG